GUGAUCAUUUACCUUCCUUUUCCACAGAAAUGUUCUAUUUUUAAGACUAAAUUAGGUAUGUCAUUUUAUCAUUUUAUCUCUGUAUAUUACAGUCACAUUUUACACAGACAUCCACACAAACACACAUACUAUAACUAUGUAGUAGGAUUUUUCUUCAACUGUUUUAUUUUAUGUUGAUCAACUUUCGUUUCAGUUGUUUUAUGAGAUAUGUUAGAACACGUUGAAUGUCGUACUAAUUAUGCCUAUUUCAACUAUGUUUUUAUUGUGUGUCUUGAGUUAUGUGGAGUUUUGUCUUUACUGUUUCCGCGUAAUGCGUUGUUGGGGACAUAGAAAUAUUGGGCGUCCUUAAAUACCGUCCAUCCGUCCGUACGUCUGUCCGUCCGGUUUUGUUUAAUAGCGCGCUCUUACUAAUAUCUACAAUUCUUGCCAUUUUUUUUAUAAAACUUAUAACAUAGGUUUACAUCAAAAAUGUAUUCGACUAAAUAGUUCGAUAAGCAGUUCUGAUCAUGUAUUUAUAAAACAGAUAGAAUGUAUAUAAGCCAUUUAGAAUCAUUAAUUGGAACAUUGCAUUGUCAGCGCAAUCAUUUGUACAAUUUGUGACAGAAUUUUAUAAAACUUAUACAAUAAGUUGUAUUAUUAAAAUCUAAUACGAGUGCGAAAAGCAAUGCCAAUCAAUAUUUUUUAAUAGACGUGUUACGAAAAUGUAUAUACUCGACACUGAGGUUGACAAAUUAGACUUUAAAUGCCAGUAUCGGAUCAAAGCAAACAAGUUAUUUAAAGAUUUUAAAUUACCUGUGUACCAAUUGAAUCAUUGUGUAAAACUGCAUAGUAAUGAUGUCCGCUUAUAUUUUCUUCAAUAACAAACGUCUUUUUAAAAACUUUAUCACAGCUAAUUUCCUGUUGAAUAUUCCUUAAGGAACAAAUAUGAUACAAUAAUUCUUCCGUGAAGAAUUACAAAUGAUAUACCCCGCUUAACUUUUGAAAAAAAGGAGGAAAGGGGGGGGGGCUAUAUAUUUUUUUAUUAACCUAGGAACAGUGUAUCCAAUUUCACUUUAUAUGGAAUACAUUUCCUUGGAUUGUUUUGACUAGUAUAUACUACUCUGUUUGAUACCUACUAAGAAAAAGAUUGAUUUCUUUUAUAUUAUUUUCAUGUAAAAUGUGACCGGUUUGACCCAACAACACCUUAUAUAUAUUCCUGCAAAGUUUCGAAAUAUUCCGCUUUGUAGUUUCUGAGGUACGAAUUAUGCCCCAUGGGAAAAAAUCAUAACGGAAAAUUGCACUACAUUUUCUUUGAAGCAUUCAACUAUUUAAUUUAAAAAAAAAAUUUUACAAGGACAAUAACCGAAAAAAAAGUUUUUUUGUAAUUGUCCUUGUACCUAAACAGAUAAGAAAAACGUGCAACGCGGGGGGACAUGUUAUGUAUGCCAUUUUCUGAAUAUUAGCCUGUAAAAAAUAUAAUGAUAUUGAAUUUAAAUGAAACUUGAACUUUAUACUAAUAUUAAAGGCCUUAAAGAUAAAAUUAAAUUAUAACCUUUAAAGUAUGCGAGACAUUUCACCAUAUAUUAGAUAAAGUUGAGAAUGGAAAUGGGGUAUGUGUCAAAGAGACAACAACCCGACCAUAGAAAAAAACACAACAGUAUUCAUGUAAGUACAUGCAAUCUAUUUUAGGAUUAUGGCCACCAAUUGGGGUAUUUGUGGUAUUUGUGAAAACCUUCAGAUUACCAAACCUUCAGUAGUAUGGUGUUCCGAAUGUGACGAAGGACUAUGUGGAGAGUGUAAGAAACAUCACGCAGUUUCCAAGGCAUCAAAAAACCAUGAAACCGUUUCUAUCGCCAAAUACAAAAACUUACCCACCGAAGUCCUGCAAAUCUCUCAGACCUGCAAACUUCAUAAUGAGAAAUACGAGCUGUUUUGUGCAAAACACGAUUGUCCUUGCUGUAAGAAAUGUGUGAAAUCUCACAACGAUUGUAAAGGUUUAACUGACAUAAAUGAACUCAUAAAAAACGUAAAAACUUCAAACGCAUUUAAUGAAAUCGAACAAACCCUGCAGGAAGUCGUCGAGAAUAUAAAACGACUAAGCACAAACAGGAAUGAAAAUUUAAAAUCUAUAGAAAACAAGAAAAGAGAAAUUGAAGCAGCAAUAAAACAAACCAGGAUAAACGUUAAUCAUCACCUUGAUAAACUUCAGGAUGACUUGAUUAAAGAACUAAUGACAGUUGAACAAAAGAGAAAAAAGCAAAAUAGAAAAAUUGUUAACUUCUCUAAAAAAGAAGGAAAAAGAGAUCGCUGAAGUACAAGAAAACUUUGCCAGUAUUAAAAAUCAUGCGUCAGAACUUCAAACAUUUUUAACAAUGAAAGAUAUCGAAAAAGAUAUUAUAGGCGAAGAAAAAUUUAUCAAAUCGAUUGCCACAAGUGACUCCACAAAUCAAGUCAAUAUUUCAUGUCAGAUUAAACAAGUCUUUUACAGCAAAUAACAGCCAGAUAUGCAGAAGUUUGGAGAAAUUAAUGUUAGUUCUGAUCCAUGUGAUUUUACCAUUCAGAAACGGAAGGACAGACAAGCCCAGAUUAUGGUCACUCUUCCAACCAGAGAUAUCGAUAACCUGACUCUGACAUUACAGAAAACGUAUCAAUACAAAGUUGUCAGAUGUCUCUGGUUGUUCAUUGCUUCCUGGUGAUCGGAUGGUAUUCUCCUCUUAUUGGACAAUAAAUUAACAGUACUAAAGUCUGACGGAUCAAAAGAUUUUGAGAUAAAGAACAUUGGUCGAAACGUUUGAUGUGGUAUUUAUUGGUGAUGAUUCUAUUGCUGUAACUUCCGGCAAUUCAAAUCAGAUUAAUAUAAUCGACUUAAAGAAGAAAUCAAAGACGAAAUCAAUAAAAGUUGAUUCAUAUAAUGGUGGAGUAGCAUACAAAGAUGGAUAUUUAAUAUAUUGUGUGCCAGAGAGAAAGGAAUACAGAUGAUCAGUCUGAAUGACGAAACAAUUACCAAUGUUAACAAUACCAAACUUUCAGGUCUUGCGUACGUUACAACAUUCGGUGACAAAUUGUUCUACACAGAUUGCAAUGACAGCGUAACCUGCUGUGAUUACCAUGGUCACAUACUGUGGACGUUCUGUGAUGAUAAAGUGUUGUGCGCUCUCCACAAGGUGUCUCUGUAGACAAUGAUGGUAACGUGUAUGUAGUGGGAUGUUAUACUAGCAAUGUGGUUGUUAUCUCUGCUGAUGGACAACACUACAGACAACUCUUAUCAAGUGAAGAUGGACUGAGCUUCCCAUGGGCUCUGCAUUAUGACACGUCUACCAAUGAAUUGUUAGUUGCAAAUAAAUCCAAUGAAGCCUUUCUGUAUGAUGUUAAAUAAUAAGACAUGACGGGUGACUUUUUCAAUCUUAUUCAACAUUUUCUUGAUCUCGAUUACAAAUAUUAUUUUAAUUGAAUUAUAUAAAUUUUUUGUGAUCUAAUUAAGAUCUGUUUAAAAUUAUUUUAUAGCGUUAUUAACUGACAAUUUCUGUAUUGGCCCUGUUAUAGAUUUGAGAUUAGCUGUAUUGGACCCGAGACUCGACGACAUCUUAUCGAGAUUAUACAGAAAAAUUAAACUUCUAAGGAUUCAUUAUUAUUCGUGGGGUACAAGUUUUAGUGGAAUUUCGUUGGUAUAGAUAUACCACAAAUUACAGUUAUGAGGCAGCAAUUCAUCUACAAAAUAGAUCUAAGGACAGUUCCAUAUGAAUAAUAGUAAAUGUCUGUCAUACGUUUUCGAGACAGCAACUCAUCGAAAAAAAGUAUAUAAUGACAGUUCCGUAUAAAUAAAAGGAGAUGUCAGAGAACAUCCCGACUUAAUAUCAAAGACAGUUUAAUUUGAAGAUGUCUGUUAAAAAGUUCAGUAUAAAUAAGCAAGGAAAUGCGUUACACGUAAACGAGACAACAACAUAAUGACAAAAUUAACAUAACAACUUUCAAUUUAAGUAAAGAAGAUGUUGGUAUUACGUACAUGAGGCAGUUAGGCAAUGUCAAAAUAAUUAGAAAUAAUCAAUUCUUCAAAUACGUUAUAUGAUUAUCAAAAAGGAUUUUCGGUCAUGAUUGUCAAUAUGGAGCUUCUGUUAUGAUUUUCAAUAAGACGAUUCGGACAUGAUUGUCAAUAAGGAGAUUCGGACAUGAUUGUUAAUAAGAAUUCGGAAUGAUUAUCAAUAAGGAGCUUUAGAUAUUAUUGUCAAUAAGGAGAUUCGGUCAUGAUUGUCAAUAAGGAGAUUCGGGCAUAAUUGUCAAUAAGGAUUCGGGCAUGAUUGUCAAUAAGGAGAUUCCGGCAUGAUUGUCAAUAAGGAAAUUCGGACAUGACUGUCAAUAAGGAGAUUCGGACAUGAUUGUCAAUAAGAAGAUUCGGGCAUGAUUGUCAAUAAGGAGAUUUGGACAUAUUUUGCAAUAAGGAAGAUAAAGAAGAUGUUGGUAGUACGUAUAUGAGGCAGUUAGGCAAUGUAAGAAAACUAAUCAAUACGCAUAACAUACGUUUUUGUGAUUGUCAAUAAGGAGAUUCGGACAUGAUUGUCAAUAAGGAGAUUCGGACAUGAUUGUCAAUAAGGAAAUUCGGAAAUGAUUAUCAAUAAGGAGCUUUAGACAUUAUUGUCA
Molecule: long non-coding RNA, 4614 nt
Filed under: Mytilus galloprovincialis (Mediterranean mussel)
Lineage: Eukaryota; Metazoa; Mollusca; Bivalvia; Mytilida; Mytilidae
Source: RNAcentral